GUAGACUUUGAGGAACGAAGAUCGUAUCGUGACGGAUACGUCCAAGUGUCUUAACUUCGAAUUUUGGCAAUUUUGUAUUCUGCACUGUAACUGUGCUAAUUUACACCUCGGUAUAAGAAAUGAUUACUGGCUUAUUGGCUGUAUGAGACAAUCUGUAUAUAAUAGAACUGAGCAGGAGGCAAAGAUUAUAAAUAUCAUAUCGCAGUACAAAGACGUUUCUGACACUUACGCUGCCGAAUCUCUCGAUGGAUAGCUUGAUCACGCCGCCAGCCGUCAUCUGUACCGGCUUCUGAGCUCUUAUCACCAUAGUCAGCAAGAGUCCGCCGAUUCGAGCAUCGAGAGACAUCAGAGUUGCGAAAUAUGCAGCGGUUGCUACUUCUUCGCUCUGACAUGCAAUGGGUAUUUAUUUAUUUAUAUAUGGAUCGUAUUUCUAUGUGUUUCUACCUGUUCCAGAAGGUAAUCGGAGGCCCACUGGGUGAUGAACAACUGACAGAGGCAAAGCACGAGGUUGGGAAUGUACUGAAAACGCUCGGGAUCGGUCUGCGCAGAGUUUCAGUGUUUCAAUAAAGAAAUUAAUAUAGUACUAGCUGAUAGCGAAUGAACUAUGUCUUACUCCUGUAAGCUUCAGACCGAUGAGAGAUAUGUUGUAGCCGAGACAAAUGAGUUGGACCAUGAAAAUCAUCCGUGUCAUCACCUCGAUUUUCUUGCAGAGACUGUGACAGAGAAUCAUUUCGUUCCUGGCCGCAGCUGCGAAAAAGCGCUCUUGCAGGGCCUUGAAGAAGCCGCAGCUGAUCAUCAUGAGAAGAGGUCCAGCCGUAUCAACGGUCGCGGCUAUCACGGUCAAGUGAUGGGUGAUCAAGACUUGCAGUCCGAAAAUCAACUCGUAGCCUAGCCAGUGAUACUCCCGAUCUUCGAUAAACCACCUUCGCGAAUGACAAGGAUCGACGUGACCAGCUUCAGCUUGAUCCCGUAAAUAUACAUCAGUAGAGCCAGAUGCUCGAUGAUUUUGUCCAUGUGGACGCCGAAGUUCUUCUUCAGCCCGUACAGCUGCGGAAAUAUCAAGAUACGAAUGUGUUAUUUCCCAACCACAUCAUCCCUUUGGAUAAUCUUACUUGAGGCAUCGACGAGACAAAAAUGAAUACCACCAGGAAAGUACGCACGAGAAACUUCUUCAAAGGAUGCUGAUAAGGCCACAGUCCCAUCUUCGUCAUCAGUGUCUUGUUUAUUAUAAAAUAUCUGCUGUCGUAUAUCUCCAUCUCUGCAGUUCACAGCGAAGUCAAAUCGUUUCGAACAAUGGAGACGCUCGACUCGUCGCAAUGUUACAUUAUUUAUAAACGCCGCAGUUACAGCACCCCGCCCCUAAUGAAGCGAUUUUACAUUCACUGUGCGAACAAAGGCUCGAGUAAUGGUGGCGCAUUUGCAUGCGUAACUAGCUGCCCUUUCGAGGAAGAGCGGAUUUCAUAUAUCUAGAGAUUUUUAUAUUCAAAGCGUACACGUCAGAGUACUUAUGCGUAAAUUUAUCAUGACGCAAAAAGGGCUAGGAACGCUCGUGUCGCAAUUUUGUGAACGUGUUUUACAUAUCCGCUUCUGGGGUGGAUAUAGCUUUAACUGUACUCAUCAGAUAUUCUGAAAAUCGCUGUAAUUUUAUAAUAAUGGAGAAAAAGUUCACAAAAGCGAUGCGCAUUUUUUAUGAGCAAGUUUGAUUUUACACGUCGGAGUCCGUUGUCGAGUCGUGACUUUCAAAGGAGUAGGUAGUAGACAUUGACGUGGACAUUAGCGUUUCGAGUAAUAUUUAUAACUUUUUUUUGUAAGUUCUUGGAGAUUUGUAAAUAUCAGACGUUAACAUUGUUUAAACUGUUCUAAUCUAAACUCAUAUUUAUUAGGCUGUAAACAGUCUUGAAAACAAUAAAGUAUACAUCUUUCUACAAAACAUUUUGUAUUAACAUGCUUAUCAAUUUGUUUUUAGUAUAUUUACAAGUGCUUUUUGGCAAGUUAUCACUGAAGGCGGCUUUAUCACGAGUCCCGCGUCACAGACGAUUAUUUUCAUCGGUUAAUUUUAGCGUACACAUAGUGAAUUUAAUACUGUGCCUACGUUUAGUGGACGUGACUAUCACUGACACGUGAUUCUCUUUGAGUAUAUAUUAUUCAAUGUCAUAAAAAUUUAAGGCAUGCUCAACAAAGCCGUUUUAGUUGCAUCUUUCGUUGCUCAUCGUACGUACGUUCUCUUGAAGCAAAUAGUCUAACAAAUAUAAAUUAUCCUGCAUGCGCAAACGUGAGUUGCCAUUCUUGAUGAAUUUGUCGGUGUCUACGAGAUCGACGAAAUCCUUAACACCUUUUGGCUUCACGGAGAGUCCUAUACUGGCUCCAUUUUUGUGCCAUCUAGCUUUCAGCAAAACGCAGCAACCUGGAUCUAAAAACAAGAACAUAUCACCGUUCUUUUCUAUUUGUAAAAAUUUAUGAUGUUAAUAAAAUAGAAAAAAUAUUAUUCCUUA
This is a long non-coding RNA of Nasonia vitripennis (jewel wasp), 2492 nucleotides long. RefSeq lists it as uncharacterized. The record is from RefSeq and is a predicted model, not a curated record. NCBI's taxonomy places the organism in Eukaryota, Metazoa, Arthropoda, Insecta, Hymenoptera, Pteromalidae. The transcript is spliced from 5 exons.